UACGAAGGGGGCUAGCGUUGCUCGGAAUUACUGGGCGUAAAGGGCGCGUAGGCGGCGCGGUGAGUCAACGGUGAAAGCUCGGCGCUCAACGCCGAGUCGGCCGUCGAUACUCCCGUGCUCGAGCACUGUAGAGGCAGGUGGAAUUCCGGGUGUAGCGGUGGAAUGCGUAGAGAUCCGGAAGAACACCGGUGGCGAAGGCGGCCUGCUGGGCAGUAGCUGACGCUGAGGCGCGACAGCGUGGGGAGCAAACAGG
Molecule: ribosomal RNA, 253 nt
Filed under: uncultured bacterium
Lineage: Bacteria
Description: partial 16S ribosomal RNA
Rfam family: Bacterial small subunit ribosomal RNA
Source: RNAcentral